Molecule: small RNA, 930 nt
Filed under: Pan troglodytes (chimpanzee)
Lineage: Eukaryota; Metazoa; Chordata; Mammalia; Primates; Hominidae
Description: retained intron
Source: RNAcentral
CAGCGCUUGAGAUCCUCUCCGCGCCCGCCACCCCGCAGGGUGCCCCGCGCCGUUCCCGCCGCCCCCGUUGCGGGCCCCUGCACCCCGAGCAUCCGCCCCGGGUGGCACGUCCCCGAGGCCACCAGGCCGGCCCCGUCUCCCCAUCCGUCUAGUCCGCUCGCGGUGCCAUGCCAUUCCUCGGGCAGGACUGGCGGUCCCCCGGGCAGAACUGGGUGAAGACGGCCGACGGCUGGAAGCGCUUCCUGGAUGAGAAGAGCGGCAGUUUCGUGAGCGACCUCAGCAGUUACUGCAACAAGGAGGUAUACAAUAAGGAGAAUCUUUUCAACAGCCUGAACUAUGAUGUUGCAGCCAAGAAGAGAAAGAAGGACAUGCUGAAUAGCAAAACCAAAACUCAGUAUUUCCACCAAGAAAAAUGGAUCUAUGUUCACAAAGGAAGUACUAAAGAGCGCCAUGGAUAUUGCACCCUGGGGGAAGCUUUCAACAGACUGGACUUCUCAACUGCCAUUCUGGAUUCCAGAAGAUUUAACUACGUGGUCCGGCUGUUGGAGCUGAUAGCAAAGUCACAGCUCACAUCCCUGAGUGGCAUCGCCCAAAAGAACUUCAUGAAUAUUUUGGAAAAAGUGGUACUGAAAGGUGAGCCUUCUCUCACUCUCUCACCCCUUUUUAUAGGCAUGGAGGUGGGCAGAUGGAUUUUCCAAUGAAGUGGACGUGUCAUUAGACUUAAAGACAUGUGAAUGGAUGGAAAUGAAUAACUCCAGCUACAUUUUAGAGACACUAAAUUCCAGUUCGGAAAGGGGUACAACUCAUCCUCAUGGCAAAGGUCCUUGAAGACCAGCAAAACAUUAGACUAAUAAGGGAACUACUCCAGACCCUCUACACAUCCUUAUGUACACUGGUCCAAAGAGUCGGCAAGUCUGUGCUGGUCGGGAA